UACGUAGGGGGCGAGCGUUGUCCGGAGUUACUGGGCGUAAAGGGCGUGCAGGCGGUCUCAUAAGUUCGGAGUGACAGUUCCCGGCUCAACUGGGAAAGGCCUACCGAAAACUGUAAGACUUGAGGGCCAGAGAGGGACAUAGAAUUCCGGGUGGAGUGGUGAAAUGCGUAGAUAUCCGGAGGAAUACCAAAGGCGAAGGCAGUGUCCUGGCUGGCAUCUGACGCUGAGGCGCGAAAGCUAGGGGAGCGAACAGG
RNAcentral lists this ribosomal RNA (254 nucleotides) under uncultured bacterium. RNAcentral's name for it is "partial 16S ribosomal RNA". It matches the Rfam family "Bacterial small subunit ribosomal RNA", at positions 524 to 776 of the family's 1533-position model. The record is from RNAcentral.